RNAcentral lists this ribosomal RNA (409 nucleotides) under bacterium enrichment culture clone ALO1_GLFRUDD03F9OLG. RNAcentral's name for it is "bacterial SSU rRNA". It matches the Rfam family "Bacterial small subunit ribosomal RNA", at positions 9 to 418 of the family's 1533-position model. The record is from RNAcentral.
GAGUUUGAUCUUGGCUCAGAUUGAACGCUGGCGGCAUGCCUUACACAUGCAAGUCGAACGGCAGCACGGGAGCUUGCUCCUGGUGGCGAGUGGCGAACGGGUGAGUAAUGCAUCGGAACGUAUCCUGGAGUGGGGGAUAACGUAGCGAAAGUUACGCUAAUACCGCAUAUUCUGUGAGCAGGAAAGCGGGGGACCUUCGGGCCUCGCGCUCUUGGAGCGGCCGAUGUCGGAUUAGCUAGUUGGUGAGGUAAAGGCUCACCAAGGCGACGAUCCGUAGCAGGUCUGAGAGGAUGAUCUGCCACACUGGAACUGAGACACGGUCCAGACUCCUACGGGAGGCAGCAGUGGGAAUUUUGGACAAGUGGGGGCAACCCUGAUCCAGCCAUGCCGCGUGAGUGAAGAAGGCCUU